RNAcentral lists this ribosomal RNA (761 nucleotides) under Prevotella melaninogenica. RNAcentral describes it as "bacterial SSU rRNA". It matches the Rfam family "Bacterial small subunit ribosomal RNA", at positions 28 to 776 of the family's 1533-position model. The record is from RNAcentral. Lineage: Bacteria; Pseudomonadati; Bacteroidota; Bacteroidia; Bacteroidales; Prevotellaceae.
GAUGAACGCUAGCUACAGGCUUAACACAUGCAAGUCGAGGGGAAACGGCAUUGAGUGCUUGCACUCUUUGGACGUCGACCGGCGCACGGGUGAGUAACGCGUAUCCAACCUUCCCAUUACUGUGGGAUAACCUGCCGAAAGGCAGACUAAUACCGCAUAGUCUUCGAUGACGGCAUCAGAUUUGAAGUAAAGAUUUAUCGGUAAUGGAUGGGGAUGCGUCUGAUUAGCUUGUUGGCGGGGUAACGGCCCACCAAGGCGACGAUCAGUAGGGGUUCUGAGAGGAAGGUCCCCCACAUUGGAACUGAGACACGGUCCAAACUCCUACGGGAGGCAGCAGUGAGGAAUAUUGGUCAAUGGACGGAAGUCUGAACCAGCCAAGUAGCGUGCAGGAUGACGGCCCUAUGGGUUGUAAACUGCUUUUGUAUGGGGAUAAAGUUAGGGACGUGUCCCUAUUUGCAGGUACCAUACGAAUAAGGACCGGCUAAUUCCGUGCCAGCAGCCGCGGUAAUACGGAAGGUCCAGGCGUUAUCCGGAUUUAUUGGGUUUAAAGGGAGCGUAGGCUGGAUAUUAAGUGUGUUGUGAAAUGUAGACGCUCAACGUCUGACUUGCAGCGCAUACUGGUUUCCUUGAGUACGCACAACGUUGGCGGAAUUCGUCGUGUAGCGGUGAAAUGCUUAGAUAUGACGAAGAACUCCGAUUGCGAAGGCAGCUGACGGGAGCGCAACUGACGCUUAAGCUCGAAGGUGCGGGUAUCAAACAGG